AUCUAGCUGACGAGUCCAAAAUAGGACGAAACGUCAAAUGU
Molecule: non-coding RNA, 41 nt
Organism: Schistosoma mattheei
Lineage: Eukaryota; Metazoa; Platyhelminthes; Trematoda; Strigeidida; Schistosomatidae
Source: Rfam